GCUAGCAGCCAUAUCACCCUACAACUCACAACUGGCAACCCACUGAAGCUAAGCAGGUGUGAGCCUGGUCAGUACCUGGAUGGGAGACCUCCUGGGAAAAACUAAGGUUGCUGCUGGAA
Lepisosteus oculatus (spotted gar) is the source of this 119-nucleotide ribosomal RNA. NCBI's taxonomy places the organism in Eukaryota, Metazoa, Chordata, Actinopteri, Semionotiformes, Lepisosteidae. The record is from Ensembl.